AGAGUUUGAUCAUGGCUCAGAACGUACGCUGGCGGCACGCCUAACACAUGCAAGUCGAACGCAGUAGCAAUACUGAGUGGCAAACGGGUGAGUAUAAUGUGGGAAUCUGCCUUUUGGUCUGGAAUAACACGGGGAAACUUGUGCUAAUACCGGAUAAGCCCUUACGGGGAAAGUUUUAACGCCGAAAGAUGAGCCUGCACUUGAUUAGCUAGUUGGUAAGGUAAAAGCUUACCAAGGCAACGAUCAAUAGCUGUUCUUAGAGGAAGACCAGCCACAUUGGGACUGAGACACGGCCCAGACUCCUACGGGAGGCAGCAGUGGGGAAUCUUGCACAAUGGGGGAAACCCUGAUGCAGCGAUGCCGCGUGAGUGAAGAAGGCCCUUGGGUUGUAAAACUCUUUCGUCGGGGAAGAAAAUGACUGUACCCGAAUAAGAAGGUCCGGCUAACUUCGUGCCAGCAGCCGCGGUAAUACGAAGGGACCUAGCGUAGUUCGGAAUUACUGGGCUUAAAGAGCUCGUAGGUGGUUAAAAAAGUUGAUGGUGAAAUCCCAAGGCUCAACCUUGGAACUGCCAUCAAAACUUUUUAGCUAGAGUGUGAUAGAGGUAAGUGGAAUUUCUAGUGUAGAGGUGAAAUUCGUAGAUAUUAGAAAGAACACCAAAUGCGAAGGCAACUUACUGGGUCACUACUGACACUGAGGAGCGAAAGCAUGGGUAGCGAAGAGGAUUAGAUACCCUCGUAGUCCAUGCCGUAAACGAUGUGUGCUAGACGUUGGAAAUUUAUUUUUCAGUGUCGCAGCGAAAGCAUUAAGCACACCGCCUGGGGAGUACGACCGCAAGGUUAAAACUCAAAUGAAUUGACGGGGACCCGCACAAGCA
Molecule: ribosomal RNA, 875 nt
Filed under: uncultured Alphaproteobacteria bacterium
Lineage: Bacteria; Pseudomonadati; Pseudomonadota; Alphaproteobacteria
Description: bacterial SSU rRNA
Rfam family: Bacterial small subunit ribosomal RNA
Source: RNAcentral